Long non-coding RNA from Diorhabda carinulata, 442 nucleotides. RefSeq lists it as uncharacterized. Lineage: Eukaryota; Metazoa; Arthropoda; Insecta; Coleoptera; Chrysomelidae. The transcript has 3 exons. The record is from RefSeq and is a predicted model, not a curated record.
GUAUACUGUGGUUAAACAAAGUAUGCAUUUCCAUAGCAACUGAAAUACAUUUCCGAACUGCACCUUUCUAAACGUAACUUCAAAAUUCCAGUACAAAAAUAUUCAAUUAAUAAAAAAUGAGCUGUUGCGCACCUUGUUGUGGACCUUGCUGUGGAUCAGUCCCACCGUGUUGUGCAAUCUGCGAACCUCCUUGUCCCCCAUUUUAUUAUGAGACUACUCCUAUAAAUUGGCCUGCUUAUUCUGGAGUCGGAGGUAUAUUCCCAUACUGCGUCUCCUCAAUGAGAUUUAUGAGCUGAUUACUGUGUGUAGUAGUUUUAAGUUGUCUUUUUGACAAGUUCGAAAAAUAUACAAUGUAAAGUCAAGAUAAUAGUGGUCGACGGUUGCAGUGAAACAAUACAUUUCUUAAUGUGAACAGUUACAAUAAACGAAAUGUAAAUCAUCA